UACGUAGGGUGCGAGCGUUAAUCGGAAUUACUGGGCGUAAAGCGUGCGCAGGCGGUUUUGUAAGACAGGUGUGAAAUCCCCGGGCGUUAACCUGGGAACGUGCGCUUGUGACUGCAUGGCUAGAGUACGGUAGAGGGGAGUGGAAUUCCGCGUGUAGCAGUGAAAUGCGUAGAUAUGUGGAGGAACACCGAUGGCGAAGGCAAUCCCCUGGACCUGUACUGACGCUCAUGCACGAAAGCGUGGGGAGCAAACAGGAUUAGAUACCCUAGUAGU
This 273-nucleotide ribosomal RNA is filed under the name uncultured bacterium. Its description in RNAcentral is "partial 16S ribosomal RNA". It matches the Rfam family "Bacterial small subunit ribosomal RNA", at positions 524 to 794 of the family's 1533-position model. The record is from RNAcentral.